Molecule: long non-coding RNA, 1508 nt
Organism: Homo sapiens (human)
Lineage: Eukaryota; Metazoa; Chordata; Mammalia; Primates; Hominidae
Gene: MOCS2-DT
Product: MOCS2 divergent transcript
Source: Ensembl
GUCUUCAGGCUUUUCCACUGGCUCACCUUUAGGCUUCUGACACUUUUACCUACGGUAUGUGAACCUCGAAAAUUUGAGACAGGUCUCAGUUAACUUAGAAAGUUUAUUUUGCCAACGUUGAGGACAUGCCCGUGACACAGCCUCAGGAAGUCCUGAGGACAUGUGCCCAAGGUGGUCAGGGCACAGCUUGGUUUUAUACAUUUUGGGGAGACAGGAGACAUCAAUCAAUAUGUAAAAAGUACAUUAGUUCCUUCCAGAAAGGCGGAGACCGUUAAAAGCAAGCCCCGCCCCCCCCAACUGGGGGCUUCCAGAUAAUGCAGUAGUUACUUUUUGAAGGACGACCGAAGCAGGAUAUUUCCCUGACCCCUUCAUGGGACCCACGUCAGAGGUGUUUACUCAGCCUGCUGCCCACAACUCCUCACAGGAGGGAGCGCACAAGUGAACGAGGGUGAGGACUGGAGAGCACCAGCACUGGAACAACCCGGCCACUUCGGCGCUACUGGGAUCAAACUCCAUCACUUGGACACACUGUGUUCCACCCCUCGUGGGAGGGAGCAUGCAGGUGAGAGGAUGCAGGAGUCAGGGUGAGCACUUUUGGGCUCCAGCAGGAGCAAACUCUGUGCAGGGCCCUGCAGCAGUGACUGAGGGGCGGCCUGUGACUCCCAAAGCCCCAGAGGACAUGCUACAGUGCUCUUUUAGCUCUACCAUCCGUAGGUGGCUUAAGUGUAAACAGCUCAGUGGGCCCUUUGCCUUUUUGCGUGAGGCAGCUGCCCUAGGCAAGAGUAAAGGGCCAGUGUCACAGCCUUCUGUAUCUGCACUCAUGACUCCUGAGCUCUUGUCCUGCAUUCAGGGAAAAUGAGGUUACACAAAAGAAUUCACAGAUGGUAAAUGCGGGGUAUUUUAUUCCCAGUGAAAGUGGCUCUCAGCAGGAAGGAGAGCAGAAAAGGGGAUGGGCUGGGUAGGUAACCUUCCCCUGAAGUCCUGCCAUCUCUGGCUGGAUUUUUCUCCAAAGUUACACCAUCAAAAUGUCCCUCUGAAAUCAAGCCACUUCUCUCUGACAUCCAGCCGUAGUCCCUCACGUCCAGUUGCUUCUCCUCUCUGCUGGCUGAGUCUGUGGUCUUUAUAGCACAGGAUGGCGGGCAGGGUGGGCCAUGGGUAAUUUAGGAAAAAGCAACAUUUGAGCAGACAAAAGGGAGAGAAGUUCUCUACUUUGGGCUGCGGUUUCAGGCUUUUUGGCUUGAGGGUGGGGUUUUGUCAGGGACCCUCCCUUUUCUGCCUAAAAUUUCUCUGCCUCCUGCCUCUAUCACUGUAUCACUAGUUUGAAGUAAACCCAUCUGGAAUUACUGAUUUUAACAAAUCACACAGAAUUUCAAGCACCUUUCUAUGCAAAUGACUUGUGAAGACAUAGAGUAUAGUAUGCCGUUAACAAACAGCCCAGCAGUGUGCCUUGCACCUUGUAGGUGUACAAAAUAUUAAGUCAAUUUUAUAAUUGAAGGAGGUAAUUUUAA